GAUGAACGCUGGCGGCGUGCCUAAUACAUGCAAGUCGAACGCAUUGUGGUUGAAAUGAUAUGAAGAACUUGUUCAGAUUCGAUUUUCAACAUUGCAAUGAGUGGCGAACGGGUGAGUAACACGUGGGAAACCUACCUCUUAGCAGGGGAUAACAUUUGGAAACAAAUGCUAAUACCGUAUAAUAAUUAAAACCGCAUGGUUUUAGUUUAAAAGAUGGUCUUGCUAUCACUAAGAGAUGGUCCCGCGGUGUAUUAGUUAGUUGGUGAGGUAAUGGCUCACCAAGACAAUGAUACAUAGCCGAGUUGAGAGACUGACCGGCCACAAUGGGACUGAGACACGGCCCAUACUCCUACGGGAGGCAGCAGUAGGGAAUCUUCCACAAUGGACGAAAGUCUGAUGGAGCAACGCCGCGUGUGUGAUGAAGGUUUCGGCUCGUAAAACACUGUUGUAAGAGAAGAAUGACAUUGAGAGUAACUGUUCAAUGU
This 485-nucleotide ribosomal RNA is filed under the name uncultured bacterium. Its description in RNAcentral is "bacterial SSU rRNA". It matches the Rfam family "Bacterial small subunit ribosomal RNA", at positions 28 to 475 of the family's 1533-position model. The record is from RNAcentral.